This 498-nucleotide ribosomal RNA is filed under the name Empecamenta sp. 835126. RNAcentral describes it as "partial 16S large subunit ribosomal RNA". It matches the Rfam family "Bacterial large subunit ribosomal RNA", at positions 1844 to 2600 of the family's 2925-position model. The record is from RNAcentral. Lineage: Eukaryota; Metazoa; Arthropoda; Insecta; Coleoptera; Scarabaeidae.
UUUAAAGUCUCACCUGCCCACUGAGAAUUUAAAUGGCCGCGGUAUUUUGACCGUGCAAAGGUAGCAUAAUAAUUAGUUUCUUAAUUAGGAGCUGGAAUGAAUGGUUGGACGAGAGAACUACUGUCUCAAGUUAAUUUUUUUUUGAAUUUUAUUUUUGAGUUAAAAAGCUCAAAUUUAUUUAAAAGACGAGAAGACCCUAUAGAGUUUUAUAUUAUUUUAUUUUAUUAAUUUUUAGAAUUUAAUUUUCAAUAAUUUUUAUUAGUAUUUUGUUGGGGUGACAGAGAAAUAUAAUUAACUUUUUUUUUAUUUCUUUCAUUGAUUUAUGUUUUUUUGAUCCAUUUUUUAUGAUUAAAAGAUUAAAUUACCUUAGGGAUAACAGCGUAAUUUUUUUUAAGAGUUYUUAUCGAAAGAAAAGUUUGCGACCUCGAUGUUGGAUUAAAAUUUAUAUUAGGUGUAGGUGCUUAAUUAUUAGGUCUGUUCGACCUUUAAAAUUUUACA